UCGUCAUUCUGCCUACUCUCUCAUCGGUCAGAGAGGCGAGAGAGUGUGCGAAAUGAAGAGA
Molecule: microRNA precursor, 61 nt
Filed under: Pristionchus pacificus
Lineage: Eukaryota; Metazoa; Nematoda; Chromadorea; Rhabditida; Neodiplogasteridae
Description: mir-8364 microRNA precursor family
Rfam family: mir-8364 microRNA precursor family
Source: Rfam by way of RNAcentral